GACGAACGCUGGCGGCGUGCUUAACACAUGCAAGUCGAACGGAAAGGCCCUGCUUUUGUGGGGUGCUCGAGUGGCGAACGGGUGAGUAACACGUGAGUAACCUGCCCUUGACUUUGGGAUAACUUCAGGAAACUGGGGCUAAUACCGGAUAGGAGCUCCUGCUGCAUGGUGGGGGUUGGAAAGUUUCGGCGGUUGGGGAUGGACUCGCGGCUUAGCAGCUUGUUGGUGGGGUAGUGGAGUACCAAGGCUUUGACGGGUAGCCGGCCUGAGAGGGUGACCGGCCACAUUGGGACUGAGAUACGGCCCAUACUCCUACGGGAGGCAGCAGUGGGGAAUAUUGCACGAUGGGCGGAAGCCUGAUGCAGCAACGCCGCGUGCGGGAUGACGGCCUUCGGGUUGGAAACCGCGUUCGCCUGGGACGAAGCGUGAGUGACGGUAAUGGGUAAAGAAGCACCGGCUAACUACGUG
Molecule: ribosomal RNA, 468 nt
Filed under: uncultured bacterium
Lineage: Bacteria
Description: partial 16S ribosomal RNA
Rfam family: Bacterial small subunit ribosomal RNA
Source: RNAcentral